This is a non-coding RNA of Aedes albopictus (Asian tiger mosquito), 58 nucleotides long. Lineage: Eukaryota; Metazoa; Arthropoda; Insecta; Diptera; Culicidae. The record is from Rfam.
UAGCCUAGUGGUUAAGGCUAUGGAUUGCCAAUCCGGAGACAGCGGGUUCGAUUCCCGU